UAUAUAUUAAUUGAGGAUCAUUUAAAAAGAUGUAACCUUAAUUUUGUACUAAUUACAUUUUAGACUUGCUGAGGUGGCGUUUAAGUAGAACCUAAUUUUGCUGAUGUGUCAUGAUUAGAAUCGAUUGAAAAAUUAGUUAGUCCAAUUUCAAUUUGCUAGGGAACGUCAUAUUAACUAGGAAGACUUUGUUAUACGAUUAACACCUUAUAAACGAAGUUUUAAAAGAAUAUUAACAAAGAGACGCAUUAGGUUUCUAAGAGGGAGUUGCGGCGGCAAAGAAUGAGUGGAGUGAAUUAAGGAGGCGAUGUGGUCAGCAGAGAGAAAGACAGUUGAGGAAAGAGAGGGAGACGAGAGAUGUGGAGAGAGUUCUGAAUGUUGUGAAGGAGAUGGAGGUUACGAGGCGGAACUGGGAGCUGGCAUCACAGGUUAUGACGGUGGUAGGGGUUUGGAGGAGGGACGGUGGUCGCAGGGGACGGUGGGGAUGUUGAGAGAUUCGAGGGCUUUGACAUGUUGUGGCCUGUGGGUCUAAUGGAGGUGCGAGGAGUGGGAGAGGUGCGUGUAAAGGGAGAGAUGGUUGGAGAAGGAGUUGGGGACAGGGAAGGAGCGUUUAUAUAAUUGAUGCUCGACGUUGCAAGUUUGAUCUUUGUUUGUGGGAUUGCUAAUUACUUGAAUGCACCAUAUUUGUGUAAAAAAGACGGGAUUGUGCUGAA
Molecule: long non-coding RNA, 710 nt
Organism: Brassica napus (rape)
Lineage: Eukaryota; Viridiplantae; Streptophyta; Magnoliopsida; Brassicales; Brassicaceae
Exons: 2
Source: RefSeq, a predicted model, not a curated record